Molecule: ribosomal RNA, 253 nt
Filed under: uncultured bacterium
Lineage: Bacteria
Description: partial 16S ribosomal RNA
Rfam family: Bacterial small subunit ribosomal RNA
Source: RNAcentral
UACAGAGGUCCCAAGCGUUGUUCGGAUUCACUGGGCGUAAAGGGUGCGCAGGCGGUUGGGUGUGUCAGAUGUGAAAUCCCGAGGCUUAACCUCGGAACUGCGUCCGAAACUACUCGACUAGAGUACUGGAGAGGGAAACGGAAUUCACGGUGUAGCAGUGAAAUGCGUAGAUAUCGUGAGGAACACCAGAGGCGAAGGCGGUUUCCUGGACAGUUACUGACGCUCAGGCACGAAAGCAUGGGGAGCAAAAGGG